This 3167-nucleotide long non-coding RNA is filed under the name Sus scrofa (pig). RNAcentral describes it as "lncRNA (ENSSSCG00040047853.1)". The record is from RNAcentral. Lineage: Eukaryota; Metazoa; Chordata; Mammalia; Artiodactyla; Suidae.
UCGCGUGAUCACGUGGUCGGCAACCAGGCGGAAGUCUCCGGCUGCUGUUUUGGGAUGAAGAACUUGCAAAGCUCUGUUGGAGAAAAGCGAAUUGCGAGUGACAUGGAAUGCAGUCUGGACAAGUGAGGGAGUUGAUCCUCAAAAAGCAAAGCAAAACAAAAUGUCAAACUUAUGCUCCUGAAAGAAGAUUUGAGAAAGAUCAGUUGCUUUUCAGUUCCCUGCACAGUGGCCUCUUUGGGAACACUGAAAGAGAUAAGACCACAGGAAAUCAUAUUGUCCUAUACUAUUAUAUAAAAUUAUGAUUCCAUCACCAUUUGUAAUUCAUGUAAUAUUCAAGUGACCAUUGGCCCGAAAAGUUAAAUUAACCCAUGUCUUUAAUUUCUUACCAUUUUAAGAGGACUUUUUACCUCCUUAUUUAAGUAGUACUGUUUGUACAUGGAAUCCCUCACCUUUCACCUCUUUUUCUUCCCUAUCACUUAGUAUUCUUAACUAAAUUGAUCAAGUGUUUUGACAUCAGUUAAAACUAGGAUCACUGCAAACAGGACAUGGGGUAGAAUAUAUGAGAUUUACUUCCCUCAGAAAUAUUCCUAAAGAGAAUAAGGACAGGUAUUCUCUGAUUGGGUCUGACCUAUGAAAUAAUUGAAUAUAGUUCUUGAAUUUAAAAGGGGAAAAAACCUAUUUAUGACCUCCAUUUAAGACCUUCAGACUCCUUGGAGGCUCUGCAUCAGCUUCUCUUUACACACUCUAAUUUGCAACAAUACCUUGAUUAAAGUUUUCCCAAAUGUCUUCUCUUCACCCCACAGUAUGACUACCAAGUAAACCAUCAUGGAUUACAUUCCAGUUAUUGUUUUACAAUCUUCAUUUAGCUAUAGGAUUUCUUCAGUUGGGAUACGUUUGUGUCAGCCAGUUUAGUUUCAGAAAAAGACAUUUUCUGAUCUUUCACCAAAAUGGUGGGUCUGAAUAAUUUGGAGGCUAAAGUUCAUGAAUUCACAAAACUGAACAUUUGUGAACAGAAAACUCUUCCCAUUUAAGAUUGACUGUAGCAUUGCACUAAAUUGUUUGUAUGUGAACUUUUUCUUCAUUGUACCUGAAAGCUUAAAUAACUGUUCUCAUUUUAGCAGUUCCUUACGUGAAACAUUUAUACUGGCUUUUCAGUUUGUGAACUUGUACUUUGUAGUAUCAUGUACUUAGUUACAUAAUAGUGCUCUCUUUCUUCUAGAUGAAUCUUUUUUUUUAAAUGUUUUAUAUUGGAGGAUAUAAAGUCACUUCUUUUAAUAUUAAUAUUCUGUUUUACACCUGAUAACUGCCAAACAAAAGAAAAGGAAAAACUCAAUGCAUAAAUUUUAAUAUACCAUAAGCAAAAUGACACCAAACCUUAAUAUGUCUAAACAGUUAAAUGUUUUACUGUCCAAAUGACUAUUUAAGCAACAAUGCCAAGAGAGAGGAAAAUCUAAAGAGACUAUUCAUGGAAAUUGGCUUAAAUUAAAAUAAUAAAUGACUAAAUAAAGCAAAUGAUGUGGCAUAUUUAGGCAUCAUACAGCCCUUAUAGGUUCAGUAGUAUUGGGUUCUUUUGGAGAAUACAGAAAUUGAGAAGAAAGAGCAUAUCUCAAACUUGCUAAUCCUAGUGAAAGCCUUAUUGUGAAGUAUACUACAUAAUUACAGCAUUCUUUCAAGAUAUUAAAAACACAUGUAUUUCAGUCCAACCAAAUGAAGUUAUAUUCGGGUUCACCUAAUUUUGAUUUGAAGUAUAGUUGAUUCACAAUAUUUUGUCAGUUUCAGGCCUACUGCCAAGUGAUUGUUAAUUUUUUUUCAGAUUAUUUUCCAUUAUAGGUUAUUACAAGAUACUGAAUAUAGUUUCCUGUGCAAUUAGUAAAUCCUUGUUGCUUAUCUAUUUUAUGUGUCAGAGUUUGUAUUUGUUAAUUCCAUACUCCUAGUUUAUCCCUCCACCUUCCCCUUUGAUAAACACUAGUUUAUUUUCUAUGUCUGUAAGUCUGUUUCAGUUUGAAUAUAAACUUGUUUGGGUUAUUUUUCAGAUACCACACACAAGUGAUAUCAUAAAACGUUUGUCUUUGACUUACUAAGUAUAAAAAUCUCUAGGUUCAUCUGUAUUGCUGAAAUGGUAAUAUUUUUAUGACCAAGUAAUAUUCCACUGUAAAUAUAUAUAUAUAUAUGUAUAUACACACCACAUUGCGACAUGUGAAAAUUCCCGGGCCAAGAUUGAACCCACGCCACAGCAGCGAUCCAGGCUGCUUCAGUGGCAAUGCCGGAUCCUUAACCUGAAGCACCACAAGACAACUCUGACAACAUCAUAAGCCAGUCAGCUGUUGAGAGGCACUUAGAUUGUUUCCAUGUCUUGGCUGUUAUAAAUAGUGCUGCUAUGAAUGUUGGAGUGCAUGUAUCUUUUCAAAUUAGAGUUUUUGUCUUUUCCAGAUAUAUGCCCAGGAAUGGGAUUGCUGGAUUCUAUGAUAGCUCUAUUUUUAGUUUUUUAAGGAAUCUCCAUACUGUUUUCCAUAGUUGCUGCACCAGUUUACAUUCCCAGCAGUGUAGGAGGGGUCCCUUUUAUCUUCACUCUCCAGCAUUUAUUAUUUGUAGACUUUCUGAUGAUAGCCAUUCUGAUCUAUGUGAGGUGAUACCUCAUUGUGGUUUGCUUUACAUUUCUCUAAUGAUUAGGGUUGUUAAGUAUCUUUUCAUGUGCCUGUUAAUCAUCUGUAUGCCUUCUUUGGAGAAAUGUCUGUCGAGGUCUUCUGCUCAUUUUUUUGAUUGGGUUGCUUGUUUUUUCAAUAAUUCAGUUGUAUGAGUUGUUUGUAUGUUUUGGAUAUUAACCCCUUGCUGAUUGCAUCACUUGCAGGUAUUUUCUCCCAUUCCAUAGGUUGUCUUUUUUUUCCAUUUGUUUAUAGUUUCCUUUGUUGUGCAAAAGCUUAUUAAUUUGUUAGGUCCUAUUUGUUUAUUUUUGCUUAUGUGGUAUCUCCUUUAAAACUUGUAACCUUAAUGAGGUGAGUAAUAUCCUCAGUUAAUUUGAAUUGGACACCGUCAUUUUCUCCCAGAAACCCUUCUCAAGAACAAGAGUCUGGAUUAAUGUUGGAUGGUUCUUCAAAUAAGGACAUAGUCAACAAGGGGGGGAAAAAAGUGUUUAAACAGGAAAAACAGAAAUUAAAAAAAAAAAAAAA